Molecule: small RNA, 28 nt
Filed under: Bombyx mori (domestic silkworm)
Lineage: Eukaryota; Metazoa; Arthropoda; Insecta; Lepidoptera; Bombycidae
Description: ovarian small RNA-25904
Source: RNAcentral
UCAUACUAUUACAUACUACUACUACAUU